CACUUUCAACAACGGAUCUCUUGGCUCUCGCAUCGAUGAAGAACGUAGCGAAGUGCGAUAAGUAAUGUGAAUUGCAGAAUUCCGUGAAUCAUCGAAUCUUUGAACGCAAAUUGCACUCUCGGUGCAUGGCCGUUCUUAGUUGGUGGAGUGAUU
This 153-nucleotide ribosomal RNA is filed under the name Rhizophagus irregularis DAOM 197198w. Its description in RNAcentral is "5.8S ribosomal RNA". It matches the Rfam family "5.8S ribosomal RNA". From Rfam's summary of the family: 5.8S ribosomal RNA (5.8S rRNA) is a component of the large subunit of the eukaryotic ribosome. It is transcribed by RNA polymerase I as part of the 45S precursor that also contains 18S and 28S rRNA. Functionally, it is thought that 5.8S rRNA may be involved in ribosome translocation. The record is from Rfam by way of RNAcentral. Lineage: Eukaryota; Fungi; Glomeromycota; Glomeromycetes; Glomerales; Glomeraceae.